AUGAAAUUAAAAUUAUUAAAUAUAAUUUUAUCAAUAAUAAAUAAACUUAAUAAUAAUAAUAAUAUUAUUAUUAAUAAUCUAUUAGAUUCAUUAAUAAAUAAGAAAUUAUUAUUAAAGAAUAUAUUAUUAGAUAUAAAUAAUAAAAAAAUAAAUAAUAUAAAAAGAAUAUUAAAUAAUAAUAAUAUAAAUAUUAAUAAUAAAUUACAACAUUUAAAUAAUAUAAAUAAUUGAAAUCUACAAAUUUAUAAUUAUAAUAAAAAUAUAGAAAUUAUAAAUACUAUAAAUGAUAAAUUAAUUAAUAAAUUAUUAUAUAAAAUAAUAACUUUAAAAUUAAAUAAUAUAAAUAUUAAUAAAAUUAUUAUAAGUAAACUUAUUAAUCAACAUAGUUUAAAUAAAUUAAAUAUUAAAUUUUAUUAUUAUAAUAAUGAUAUUAAUAAUAAUAAUAAUAAUAAUAAUAAUUAUUAUAUAAAUAUAAUAAAUAAAUUAAUAAAUAUUAUAAAUAAUAAUAUAAAUAAUAAUUUAUGUAAUAUUUUAAGUUAUUAUUAUAAUAAAAAAGUAACUAUUGAACCUAUUAAAUUAUCAUAUAUUUAUUUAAAUAGUGAUAUUUUUAGUAAAUAUAUUAGUUUAAAUGAUAUAGAUAAAUAUAAUAAUGGUAUCUUAACUAAUUAUCAACGUAUAUUAAAUAAUAUUAUGCCUAAAUUAAAUGAUCAUAAUAUUUCUAUAAAUUAUAUUAAUAAUAUUAAUAAUAUUAAUAAUAAUAAAUAUAAUAAUAUAAUUAAUUUAUUAAAUAAUAAUAAUAAUAAUAAUAAUAAUAAUAAUAUUAAUAAUAAUAAUAAUUAUAAUAAUAAUAAUAAUAAUUAUAUUGGUAAUAUUAAUAAUAUUUAUAAUAAUAUAACUAUUGAUAAUAUUCCUAUAGAUAUUUUAAUAUAUAAAUAUUUAGUUGGUUGAUCUAUUAAAUUUAAAGGUAGAUUAAGUAAUAAUAAUGGUAGAACUAGUACACUUAAUUUAUUAAAUGGUACUUUUAAUAAUAAAAAAUAUUUAUGAAGUAAUAUUAAUAAUAAUUAUAAAUUAAAUUAUAUCCCUUCUAAUCAUAAUUUAUAUAAUAAUUCUAAUAUUAAUAAAAAUGGUAAAUAUAAUAUUAAAGUUAAAUUAAACUUUAUUUAA
Molecule: ribosomal RNA, 1164 nt
Filed under: Saccharomyces cerevisiae (brewer's yeast)
Lineage: Eukaryota; Fungi; Ascomycota; Saccharomycetes; Saccharomycetales; Saccharomycetaceae
Source: RNAcentral